UGCACUUGGCGAAGUUGCCUG
This 21-nucleotide microRNA is filed under the name Spodoptera frugiperda (fall armyworm). RNAcentral describes it as "sfr-miR-10468-3p". Lineage: Eukaryota; Metazoa; Arthropoda; Insecta; Lepidoptera; Noctuidae. The record is from miRBase by way of RNAcentral.